CCUACGGGUGGCAGCAGUGGGGAAUAUUGCACAAUGGGGGAAACCCUGAUGCAGCGACGCCGCGUGAGUGAAGAAGUAUUUCGGUUUGUAAAGCUCUGUUAGUAGGGAAGAAAAUGACGGUACCUGACGAGAAAGCUCCGGCUAACUAGGUGCCAGCAGCCGCGGUAAUACGUAGGGCGCAAGCGUUAUCCGGAUUUACUGGGUGUAAAGGGAGCGUAGUCGGUAUGGCAAGUCUGACGUGAAAAGCAGGGGCUCAACCUGCGAACUGCGGUGGAAACUGUAGGGCUUGAGUGAAGUAGAGGUAGGUGGAAUUCGAGGUGUAGCGGUGAAAUGCGUAGAGAUCGGGAGGAACACCAGUGGCGAAGGCGGCUUACUGGGCUGCAACUGACGUUGAGGCACGAAAGCAUGGGUAGCAAACAGGAUUAGAUACCCUUGUAGUC
Molecule: ribosomal RNA, 440 nt
Filed under: uncultured bacterium
Lineage: Bacteria
Description: partial 16S ribosomal RNA
Rfam family: Bacterial small subunit ribosomal RNA
Source: RNAcentral